GACUAACUAGUACCCUAGUCUGUUUUUCCUGCACGAGUGGAAUGCCAGCUUUAAUCUAUCACUUGAAAACACGGGACAAAGAGGAGUCACGCAUAACGACUAGUAGGG
RNAcentral lists this non-coding RNA (108 nucleotides) under Aurantiochytrium limacinum. Lineage: Eukaryota; Bigyra; Thraustochytrida; Thraustochytriidae. The record is from RNAcentral.